Molecule: ribosomal RNA, 1041 nt
Filed under: Prochlorococcus marinus CUG1432
Lineage: Bacteria; Bacillati; Cyanobacteriota; Cyanophyceae; Synechococcales; Prochlorococcaceae
Description: partial 23S ribosomal RNA
Rfam family: Bacterial large subunit ribosomal RNA
Source: RNAcentral
GGUCAAGCUACAAAGGGCUCACGGAGGAUACCUAGGCACACAGAGGCGAUGAAGGACGUGGUUACCUGCGAUAAGUCUCGGGGAGUUGGAAGCACACUUUGAUCCGGGAAUUUCCGAAUGGGGCAACCCCAUGUACGGCCAACUGAAUAUAUAGGUUGGUGCGAGCUAACCCAGCGAACUGAAACAUCUUAGUAGCUGGAGGAAGAGAAAGUAAAUAACGACUCCCUCAGUAGCGGCGAGCGAACGGGGAAAAGCCCAAACCGAUAGUCUUGACUAUCGGGGUUGUGGGACAGCAAUAUGUAUCAACAAGUCUAGAAGAAACGUUUGAAUGGCGUGCCACAGAGGGUGAAAGCCCCGUAAUCGAAAGGUAAGUUGAACUAGCUGUAUCCCGAGUAGCACGGAGCACGUGGAAUUCCGUGUGAAUCUGCGAGGACCACCUCGUAAGGCUAAGUACUACUGUGUGACCGAUAGUGAAACAGUACCGCGAGGGAAAGGUGAAAAGAACCCCGGGAGGGGAGUGAAAUAGAACAUGAAACCGUGAGCUUACAAGCAAUGGGAGCCCGACUAAUCGGGUGACCGUGUGCCUGUUGAAGAAUGAGCCGGCGACUUAUAGGCACUGGCGGGUUAAACCGGAAAUGGUGGAGCCACAGCGAAAGCGAGUCUUAAUAGGGCGUUUGUCAGUGUUUAUAGACCCGAACCCUGGUGAUCUAACCAUGGCCAGGAUGAAGCUUGGGUGAUACCAAGUGGAGGUCCGAACCGACUGAAGUUGAAAAUUCAGCGGAUGAGCUGUGGUUAGGGGUGAAAUGCCAAUCGAACCAGGAGCUAGCUGGUUCUCCCCGAAAUACGUUUGGGCGUAGCGUCUAGUGCUCCAGCAGGGGGGUAAAGCAACCAUUUCGGUGCGGGCUGCGAAAGCGGUACCAAAUCGAUAUGAACUCUGAAUACCCUGUGUGUAACUAGGCAGUCAGACUGUGGGGGAUAAGCUCCAUAGUCAAGAGGGAAACAGCCCAGACCGCCAGCUAAGGUCCCAAAAUUAACGCUAAG